AGAGUUUGAUCCUGGCUCAGAACGAACGCUGGCGGCGUGGAUAAGACAUGCAAGUCGAACGGGAUAACAUCUGUAGCAAUACAGGUGUUAUUUAGUGGCGAACGGGUGCGUAACACGUGGGGAAUCUGCCGAGAAGUGGGGGAUAGCUCGCCGAAAGGCGAAUUAAUACCGCAUAUGGUCAGUGAAGACAUCUUCACAACACCAAAGCCGGGGCAACCUGGCGCUUCUUGAUGACCCCGCGGCCUAUCAGCUAGUUGGUGAGGUAACGGCUCACCAAGGCUAUGACGGGUAGCUGGUCUGAGAGGACGACCAGUCACACUGGAACUGAGACACGGUCCAGACACCUACGGGUGGCAGCAGUCGAGAAUUUUUCACAAUGGGGGCAACCCUGAUGGAGCGACGCCGCGUGGAGGAUGAAGGCUUUCGGGUUGUAAACUCCUGUCAUUUGAGAACAAGGUGCAUCGAUUAACUGUCGAUGCAUUGAUAGUAUCAGAAGAGGAAGAGACGGCUAACUCUGUGCCAGCAGCCGCGGUAAUACAGAGGUCUCAAGCGUUGUUCGGAUUCAUUGGGCGUAAAGGGUGCGUAGGUGGCGGGGUAAGUCAGGUGUGAAAUUUCGGAGCUCAACUCCGAAACUGCAUUUGAUACUGCCUUGCUUGAGGACUGGAGAGGAGACUGGAAUUCACGGUGUAGCAGUGAAAUGCGUAGAUAUCGUGAGGAAGACCAGUGGCGAAGGCGGGUCUCUGGACAGAUCCUGACACUGAGGCACGAAGGCCAGGGGAGCAAACGGGAUUAGAUACCCCCGUAGUCC
Molecule: ribosomal RNA, 808 nt
Filed under: uncultured Spartobacteria bacterium
Lineage: Bacteria; Pseudomonadati; Verrucomicrobiota; Spartobacteria
Description: bacterial SSU rRNA
Rfam family: Bacterial small subunit ribosomal RNA
Source: RNAcentral